Non-coding RNA from Salmo salar (Atlantic salmon), 3222 nucleotides. Lineage: Eukaryota; Metazoa; Chordata; Actinopteri; Salmoniformes; Salmonidae. The record is from RefSeq and is a predicted model, not a curated record.
AGCAUGGCAACCGCUCCGACGGCAUCGGCGUGAGUAUGAGACUGAGUCCCUCGCUCACAGCGCCCGCUCUUAUAGCCGUACAGCUCAAACACAUACUGUUCAGUAGACAGCAAGGGAAACACUCAGCCACUGGAGCAGAGGAAUGGGGAAAGCCUGGUUAAGAUGCUAAUCAUUUCCAGGGUGGAAUCCACUUUCUGAAAUCAGAAGUUGUUGCUUGAUUUCAUUAUUUCUUUACCUUAAAAUUGAAAAUCCAGGAUAGGACAUCAGCUGAAAGUGUUUUAAAUUGCUAAGCUGCAUGAGCCAAAGUUUGACAGUGUGAAUUAGUCUUUUAAAAACAGAGUCAAGUUGCAGGUUGAUGUGUACAGUACUCUGAAAGAGGACUAAAGUCUUUGGUGGAAUCAACUGGGGUUUGCAAAGCAAAAAGAAGUGAGAUGGAAUUAUAUACAUGAAACCGCUUCCCUCCUCACCUGCUCAUCAUCUGACUCCCCACUUCAACCUGACAUCAUCUCCCCAUCAGAAAAGGAGUGGAGAGGAGAAGAGGAGAGCACAACUGCUCCAGCUCCAGCUCAUCAAGGCUGAGGAGGAGAAACUGACCACAGAGCGAACUUGGUCACUACUGAGAUGCAACUUGGGGAGGAAACGCUCAACUGCCGCGGGGUACGACAUCAGACGAAAGAAGCCUUUGAAUUGGACAGCCUGGAAGACGAGACAGCCCUCUCCCUCGGAUCCCGUGCCUCUCCACUGCCAAAGGAUGAGAGGUGCCGACUUUUCCCUUAGUUGCCAGGGAUAUCUGUGCACUACGGAAAGGCAAACAACCCCUCCAGCAUGUCCAAUGAUAUGUUCCUCCUGAUGCUCUGCAAGACUGGUCUGAGAGGGAAACUGCAGACCUUUCCUGGGAAAAUGGUAAACACUGCCAUCUGUGAUGAAGAAACUGGAAUGCAAGACAAGGAAGGUACAGAGGAGUCCAUUCUGGCCAUGCUCGGGAUCAUCGGCACCAUUCUCAACCUGGUAGUCAUCAUCUUUGUCUACAUCUACACCACUCUGUGACUGUGAUAAAAAAAAAAACAUUCCUAUCGUUUGCAUUGAACAGCACAGCAGACCUACUGGCUGCAGCCAUGUUAUUUGGCUGGGAAUUGGGUCUGUGCCGAGGCGGUGCCGUGUUGUCGAUCGACAUUCCCAACGUUCAAAGGCAUCUAAGACUGUGUGAUUACCGCGACGCAUGUAACCUACGGCAUCGUCAUCGAGCGGUGUUGAGACUAUGUCUAUGGGAGACUGGACCAUUCCUAUGGGGCCUUUGUCCGAGCCGUCAGUAUCAUCCCGAGUCUCUGAUACUACUUUGACCUUUUAACCUGUAAAUAUGCAUGAGGCUAUCGCGAGCCCCUUGGUAAGUCAGCUCUCGAGAUCUAGCUUUCUUACACAGGUGCCAAGACAAGGAGAAAGUUUAAAAAAAGGCCUGAUAAACAUUUUGAUAUUAAAAAGGGAAAAGCAUGAUAAUCAUACCCUCAGAAUGGACAGAUUACAUUGAAACUGUAGACUGGAGAAGAGUCAUGUACAUUAUGAUGAAAUUGAUAGUUGAUAGUUGAUAACUCUAUUUACACGAGUACUAUCAUAUUGUUAAAAAUUAUGUUUACAGAAAAAUACUUUGAACUGAGUGUGUUUAGUGGGUAGGUGGUAGCAAUGUGCAAGUCAACCAGAGUUUAUGAUGGUUCUAUAAUAUUUAUUGUUGUGUUCUGACUUCUAUUUUCAGGUAAAUCUAUUUUGGACCCUGUUACUUUGCAUCAUUAUUUUAUUGUACGUACAGUGAUAGAAAAGGAGGCAACCGGUUUUUGUCUAUCUGCUUUUUGGCACUAGCAAAAUGGGAAAUCUAAGACUUCUUGUUAGUGUUGCUGAGAGAAAUCUUUUCAGGAGUAUCAAGAAUCCAAGUAAAUGAAAUUAUGUUUCGUUUUGUUUUCUGGAGGUGAGUAUUUGGUGAAGUAGGGGGUAGCAUCAAAUAUGAUCACAAACGUGUGAUCUGCAUGCGUCACGAUAUAGUAUUAAAAAGAGCAUUUAAAAUGGUAAUAUGGGAGAAAAUAUUAUUGUUCUAAAUUUUAUCUAAAUGUAUAUAGCAUUUACUGAGCUUUAGAGCUUUGACUGAAUAGAGCCCUUUUUAUGUUGCCCUCUCCUUCAGGACUGUGCCAAGUAAGUAAUCUAACAUAAACUUCUGCAUAUUAACUGCAAUGCCUUGAGAUGAGAUGCAUAGUGAAUUUAAAAGCACAAUUUGGAAAUUACUAUUCACAGUAAGUACGAAUGUAUGGGCAACUGUGUGUAAAGUGUAUACGCUGAAGCCUACAACCUCUUGUGAUUUCAAAAAAAGUGCCUGAGUUCAAGUUCAGUAUCUCAAUCCCAUCGUCAAGAUCUCAAAGCAGAAGAAGAUAAUAUACAUGGGGAUCCAGUGGCAAGACAAACCACACAGAACAAAAUCUGCAAAAGUGCUUGGCUAAUUAACCUGGAUCUAAUGGCUAUCUAAAACAUCUCCAGAACACUGGUAACUCAUUACAGAUGAUCCUAGCUCGUUGUAUUAUGAUAUCCUCCAAUUUUGUCUACUCUUGAUUUCCCUGUAAGGAGCCAUUUGAAAAGGUUCGGAAUUACUCCCAAAGGUGACUGGUUCCUGUUCCUAUUCCUCCAGACAUAGCAGAUAUUUGGAGGAGGUACAGUAGUGUAGUAAGUACAUGGACAGUGUUGAGAAUGUAUUUCAGAUUUGUAAUUGAAUUGUAAGUCCUUGCCUUUCUGUUUCUAUUUAUAUUCUUGUGUAAUUGAAAUGCCUAGUGAAACCAUAUGUUAUUAAAUGCCGUUUCAUAGCAUUGCAUGGGUCUCAGUAACCAUGAGAAUAAUUUUAUUAACCUUUGACUUGAUAUUCUAAAAUCCCAGAUUUAAGCUUUUAUCAGAUAAUUCUAUUUUUAUGUAGUUGUAUGCUUAUCUUUGAAUUCUCAGAGCCAGGUUUCCAGACUCCUGGACUAAAAAGCAUGCUCAAUGAAAAAUGUAGUGCUUCUUAGUCCAGGAUGAGUCUUAGUCUGGGUCUGGGAAACUGGCCCACAAAGCCUACUAUACAUAGUUUGAUGGGUAAUACUGGAAGUAAAAAGAAAAAUACUUAAAUCUUAUCUUCCUAUUCUUUUUCCCAUGUCUAAGAUAGUUUUUAAGCUUGCUGUUUUGUUAAAAAGAAUUCAAUAAAACCCAUAAAAAAUA